Molecule: transfer RNA, 72 nt
Filed under: Limosilactobacillus reuteri
Lineage: Bacteria; Bacillati; Bacillota; Bacilli; Lactobacillales; Lactobacillaceae
Description: Lactobacillus reuteri tRNA-Trp
Rfam family: tRNA
About the family: Transfer RNA (tRNA) molecules are approximately 80 nucleotides in length. Their secondary structure includes four short double-helical elements and three loops (D, anti-codon, and T loops).
Source: RNAcentral
ACACGAAUAAUUCAAUUGGCAGAAUGGUAGCCUCCAAAACUACUCAUCUAGGUUCAAGUCCUAGUUCGUGCG